Molecule: ribosomal RNA, 429 nt
Filed under: Acidobacteriota bacterium
Lineage: Bacteria; Pseudomonadati; Acidobacteriota
Description: Acidobacteria bacterium partial 16S ribosomal RNA
Rfam family: Bacterial small subunit ribosomal RNA
Source: RNAcentral
UGGGGAAUUUUGUACAAUGGGGGAAACCCUGAUCCAGCCAUCCCGCGUGUGCGAUGAAGGCCUUCGGGUUGUAAAGCACUUUUGGCAGGAAAGAAACGUCAUGGGUUAAUACCCCGUGAAACUGACGGUACCUGCAGAAUAAGCACCGGCUAACUACGUGCCAGCAGCCGCGGUAAUACGUAGGGUGCAAGCGUUAAUCGGAAUUACUGGGCGUAAAGCGUGCGCAGGCGGUUCGGAAAGAAAGAUGUGAAAUCCCAGAGCUCAACUUUGGAACUGCAUUUUUCACUACCGGGCUAGAGUGUGUCAGAGGGAGGUGGAAUUCCGCGUGUAGCAGUGAAAUGCGUAGAUAUGCGGAGGAACACCGAUGGCGAAGGCAGCCUCCUGGGAUAACACUGACGCUCAUGCACGAAAGCGUGGGGAGCAAACAGG